AUGAAUCGUCCAAUUUGGGUAGACAUUAUUCACGAUAUUAUUUUUCCUUCUUUUGUUGAAUAUCUGGGCGAAUACUGUAGCCCAAACCUUAGGGCGUGACCCCUAGCCACUGAAGAUUUGGACGAAAUCCAAAAUCGCAGGUAUGCACCAACAGAGACGGAGGUUCUUCGAUGAAUUUCAGUGUUAACCACGGGGGCAAAUACUCUUUGUGGAGUCGUCUGGAACUAUUUUUUAUCACAAUUUGUUUUGAGGAAGAGUUCGUGCCUACCAAGGGGAAAGCUACAGGUUACUGGACGCCACCAAAGGUCUAUUGAGCUUAUGUCCUUUCUGAGAGUCUGAGUUUGUGAUUCAGCAACAUCAAGACAAGGAGUUUUUUUAUUACCAGGUGCUGUGCUACCUUAUACCUACAGUUGUGUUCACUCGGAUAUGCAAGAAAAUCAACCUUAGUAGCUGAGUUGUUGAUUAAGAAGGCUACAAGCAAAGGAAGAGACCAUAAGCAAAAAUUGAAAAGACUUCGGAAAAAUUGAUUUUGAACCAGGUUACUUUUGUUUGGGGUGGUCAGGAAAAAAAAACAGACACGAAGGGCAGUGGCAAGUGGUAGCCAAAAGAAGAUUACUUAAGGCUCAAACAAAUAGAGAUAAUCUGAUGCUGUAAAAAAAAAACUUAUCUAUUUUUUUAUUCCCUAAUGGUAUCCAUAUACCAAAACUUUUGGCUUGGCAUAGGUAGAAUGGUUACCAAGGGUGUCAACUCUACACCUGCAAUUUGUUGCUUGUAGUUAUUAAAAUGGCCUAUUACUAGGCAACAUGAUCACUUUUCCUCUAUCACCUAGCAUUGAGUGUGUGUAUAUUUUCUAUGCCUUCUCAUUUUGAUAUGCUUAUGAUUAGAAAAAUUAUUAAAACCAUAUCUAAUUUAUCUGGUUUAACUAUCCUUUAUAUUUAGAAUAUUUGACUUAAAGUAUUAUGAUGCCUUAAUGUGUAAGGCUAUUAUUUUGGGCCUACAUUUUCCAUGGAAACCACAUUUUGGCUCUCUUCAUGAGUCUCAGGCAAGAAUAGUUAUGACUAUCUAUUGACUUAGACAAAUUAGUAAAUUGUCUUUAUUUUCCACCAAGGAGGUCUUGGCUUGAUAUAUCUAUUGCAGGCAAGGUAUGCAUUGUUAAUUUCAAUGUUGAUGCAUAUAUUCAAUCCAUUAAUAACCCUAAAAUAUAUAAAUAUUAAGAUUGAACACUGUGGUUGUGAGAGAUCUGCUACAAAAUCUAAAAGUAUGGCCAUUUCAUAAUCUUAUUCCUCUUGAAUGUAAAUGUUAGACAAAUUUUUGCAUAAGGUUAUUCAUAAGUCCAAAAUCCAAAAUCCUACCUGAAUUUAGAGAUCGCUUUAAAAAUCAAUUUAGUAUUUUUUUAGCAACUCCUAAUAAAAGGAAAUAGGAUUAGAAUACAUUUCCUUUCCUUGAACACACAUACACUUGGAAUUUUUAAAAUGUUAAAAUUCAAGUGUUAGUAAUUAAAAAAUAUCUAAGAGAUUUAUACUCAUAAUCCACCGUAUCAUACUCAUUGUUGAUUGAUUUAGUUUUCUCUCAGUCUCACUAGUUGGUCCACAUUAUUCUUAAGAAACCCUUGAAUGGCUUGUUAGGCUCUCCAUAGCUAUGUUUGGCAUUUCUAUUUUAAUUUAGUGGUUUGUUUGUAUAUUUUUCUGCUGUCCAAACCACAUUAUUCUACAAGUAGCCAAAGCUAUCCAAAAGUGUAGUCAAGAGGAAGCCAAAGUAACUAAACAUCGGUUGAAAAGGGAAAUGUUAAAAAGAUUAAGAAAUCAAAUGAAUGGUGUUAGGAAUGUUUAGAAAAAAACUACAACAUCAAAGUUACACAAGUGAACCACUAAAUGCUUGCAUAAAAAAAAUUGGUAGUAAAUUCUCUGAUGUACACUUGAAAUUAUGCUAGUGUCAUCAUUUAGUGGAUUCACUUUUAAUUUUAUUUAUUAUUUAAGAUAGGCAUAUCAUCGAGGGCAAUCCAAAAUGAUAGACAGUUACUGUUAUACAACUAGUUUACUACCCAAGGCAUGAGUUAUAAAUAGCUAGAUUUAAUGUUGCACUAUUUCCAACUGUUGUUCUGGGUGAAACAGUAAGCUAAGUUGCAGAAAAAUCUGCUCGCACAUGCCUAAGAAUCAUGCUAAAAUCCUUUUAGGUUUUGUUCUUCAUCUUACCACCUUUCCAUAAAAUAUUGAAGUUUUGAAUAUGGCUUAAUAGUGUAAAGUUAUGGCCAUUUAAAGCUGCCCCAUUUUGCUGCAAAUUACUCUGUUUAUGUCCUUUGAAGGAUUAUGUUGCUAUCAUUAUCCUUGAAUGGUAUGUUUGAUCUUCAUAUUGUUACAGGGUUGUUUGGACUGCACAAAUGAAAGGUUUACAUGCUUUGAACAUGAUUGUCAAUGUUAUUGAUUCUCAUACAUUUGUGACUGUCAAGGAGUCAAAAAUCCUUAUCACUUCCCCUUCCACAUUGUGCCUUGAAGCUCUAUUUUCUUGAUUUGACCUCACUAUAUUCUUUUACCUUUUAUAACAAGUUUGUCCCUUCAUGACCAAAGACUCUUGACUAGUGGGUGUUGAGUCCCAUUGUAGCUUAAAUUAAAUUUUGUCAUUUCUUUGUUUCUAUUUCAUUUGGUAAAUUGCCUUACCUUUUUUAAGUGUGUAAAAUUCGGCUUUGUUGCCAUUACUAAGGGUUUAUCUUUCAUGAAAUUCACCAAGGGCUUGGACUGGACCUUAGAUAUGCCAUACUCAAUAAGUGUUUCAGUAUUUUACAAAAAAAAGAAUACUCAUCAUGUUUUAUGAGAUUUGAACCUGCAUCUUUCUUAUGAAAUCCCUGAUGCUUUUGUCACUUAAGUUCAUCUCAUCCAGAGGACAAACUAUUUCAUUAUUUCUGUCAAAUUUUCUGUAUGGGUAAGCUAAACUGAAAGAGGAUAUUUGAUUGUAGCUGAGGAUGCUUGUGCUCCUAUGCUUUAUGUAUGGCUUACUUCAGCUUGCUAAUGGAAUAUAUUCAAUUAUUAUUAAAUUUGUGUGUUUCAAAGCUACGAUCUAGAAUUACUUAUAAUAAAGAUGCAAGCCUGUUUAAAAAUUUAAUAUGAAAUUCCUCCUCUAUAAUCUUGCAAGGACUUGCAAGUUUGGUUUCUUUGAAGAAGUUAUUGUCUUUUAGAAUUGUAGAUUGCGAUGGGUCAGCACAAUAAGUGAGAUUUAUUGUAUUUCUGCCAUUUGCAAUGGUUAUUUUUUAUAUUUAGAUUUUUUUUCACGGGGUCAAAGAAUUAAGCCUUCAUAGCUUCUGAUGCAGAGUUUUGUGUCAAACAUAUUAUUUAUGAGUGGUGUUCUUUUUAAUGGUUUUAAAUGGAGCAUUUAUAGUGGUCCUGCACAUUUAUCACAAUAAUAGAAAUGAUUGUAUAUGCUAAUGUCACAAUAGUAACUAAUUUUCAACUGUUUAUGAUCUCAUUUCAGAAAAUUUACAGAACUCUUUUAAUUCAUAGAAACUUCAAUAGACUCUUCUUCCAUCAACACAAACAAGACCAAAAUUGGUCUAUGUAUUAAUUUUGCACCUUUAGUUUAGCACUGGACAAAAUAUAUAUUUUAUAACAAUCUAGUCUUGAGCUUCUUUCAAGCAUAAUUGUUCGGAUAGUUAAUGCUCCACAAAACUUUGGUAGUUAAGGCAAUGCUUCAAAUAGUUGGUGCAACAGAUUCUCUAAGUAAUUAUUAUGGUAGAAAUGCCCUUCUUUUGAGGUUUUUUGUGUAUUUUUUUACAAGUUGAUAUUAGUUAUUUAUUGAAUACCCAUCUAAGCUAGUAAGGGCCUCUCCUGGAAGACACUAGAUGAUUAGGGAAAGUUACAAUUUUUCAUGAUACACAGCUCAGCUGAAAGCUACUUGAAUCUCAUUGAAGUCAAGUUGCAAACCAUAUUUCAUGGGGACUUCUUUACUCUCAUCUUAGAGGACUUGAGGCUUUUUAAACAAGAGUUAGCAUUGCUUGUUAAAACUUAAUGUUAAAUUCCAUUAAUUUUCAAAAGAUAUUGAAUCAUUGCAUCUUGGAGGCUAGUCUUAGUUGUUACUUUUUAUGGGUUUUAGGGAGUGAAUAUCCUUGUAAACCGGGUAUUAUAUUGAUCUCUUUUUCUCCUAUUCUCACAUUGUGGAUGAGAGUCACAAAGCGGGUAUAACAACAGGAAGAGAAUACGCAACUAAUUGCUGAAAAUGAACUGGCAUAGAAAAAGAACGUGAACAGAAUAGGAACCUGAUUGAUUGAUUCGAUAUAUCAUUCUCAUUUUUAUCUAAUGACAUACUUGUUUUAAUCUUUUAUAAGACUGUCGAUGCUCUAGGUGAGCUUACUCUGUUUCUGUUGUGAUCCCUAACCAGGGUAGUGUUGAUUGUGCCUCUCUAGCAACAUAAAAAAAUCAGUAGGAAGAAUCGUCAAAUUGUAGUUGCCAUAGUUGCCAUAGGAUUAAGUGCAGGUAGAAUCACUGGCAAAUAACCAUAAUUUCUAGCCUGAGAAAUUUUAAAUAGAAAAGAAUGAAAUUAGUGAAGAAAAUUAUAAAACUGCAAGUACACCUAUUCAUUCUAAAUGAACAUAUCAAUCACCUCUCAACAAUUAGUAUUCAGAUUUGUUUUUUUUUAUGUUAAUCAUAUCAACAAUUAGUACUGAAAUCUAUUUUUUUUAUAUUAAUCAUAUCAACAAUUAGUACUCAGAUCUAUUUUUUCUAUAUUAAUCAUGUUUUUGCCAUGUAAGAAUCUCAAAGCUUAUAUUAGCCCCAUAAAUAGUGUUGAUCAUCUAUCAUAAUUAUUUUUGGCAUUUGAAGGUUCGAAAACUCUUAUCAACGUUGUUAAUUAUGGAAUCCACUGUCCAUAAUUGGAUACUUUGAUUGAUACAGUCUCCUAACUUUGUUGCUACAACUUUUACUGCUGAUCAACAUUCGUUUCAUUGGGGUUUGGCAUCUAUAUUUUGCAUUCAUCAUUUUAGCAUGCAAGAAAAUUGUAUAUAUCCUAAGGUUGUUUAGUUGGAAAAAUUACAGACCUGACAACGUGUUGAAGAGAUGGAACCAAAUAUUCGAUAUUGUUUAUACAAAAUGGGACAAUCAAAUAUUUGUAGAAAUGUAUGUUUAUAGACUAACAUAGGGUACAUGGUAUAAUUAUACUUUAAAUGGUGCUAGCUCAAAUGGAAGAGCACCUGCUUUACAAGCAAGAGGAUGGUGGUUGGAUUCCAUCGUGCCCUAAUAUGACUAAAGAUAUGACCAGUUAACGGUAAAAUAAUGAUUAGAAUGACUAAAUAUACUACCAAUUGACAACAAUUAAUGACUAAAUAAAUGACCAAUUAAUAACAAUCAAUGACUAAAUUAAUGAUUAAAUAUAUGACUAAAUUAGUGACUAUUAUGCCUAAAUAAAUGACCAGAU
Long non-coding RNA from Cryptomeria japonica (Japanese cedar), 5397 nucleotides. RefSeq lists it as uncharacterized. Lineage: Eukaryota; Viridiplantae; Streptophyta; Pinopsida; Cupressales; Cupressaceae. The record is from RefSeq and is a predicted model, not a curated record. The transcript has 4 exons.